GCGGUAUUAGCUCAGUGGUUGAUUUCAAAAAGAGCGUCUGCUUUACACGCAGGAUGUCGGGAGUUCGAAACUCUCAUGCCGUA
RNAcentral lists this transfer RNA (83 nucleotides) under Cryptomonas curvata. RNAcentral describes it as "tRNA-Val". It matches the Rfam family "tRNA". Rfam says of the family: Transfer RNA (tRNA) molecules are approximately 80 nucleotides in length. Their secondary structure includes four short double-helical elements and three loops (D, anti-codon, and T loops). Further hydrogen bonds mediate the characteristic L-shaped molecular structure. tRNAs have two regions of fundamental functional importance: the anti-codon, which is responsible for specific mRNA codon recognition, and the 3' end, to which the tRNAs corresponding amino acid is attached (by aminoacyl-tRNA synthetases). tRNAs cope with the degeneracy of the genetic code in two manners: having more than one tRNA (with a specific anti-codon) for a particular amino acid; and 'wobble' base-pairing, i.e. permitting non-standard base-pairing at the 3rd anti-codon position. The record is from RNAcentral. Lineage: Eukaryota; Cryptophyceae; Cryptomonadales; Cryptomonadaceae.